UUCAUCAUAGUUCAGUGGUUAGAAUAUAAGCCUCUCACGCUUGAGACCCGGGUUCAAUUCCCGGUGAUGAAG
Non-coding RNA from Pseudocohnilembus persalinus, 72 nucleotides. The record is from Rfam. NCBI's taxonomy places the organism in Eukaryota, Ciliophora, Oligohymenophorea, Philasterida, Pseudocohnilembidae.